UAUCAUACGGCGAAACUGCGAAUGGCUCCUUAAAACAGUUAUAAUUUAUUUGAUGGAUAAAGAUAUGGAUAACCGUAGUAAUUCUAGAGCUAAUACAUGCGUGAAAGCCUGACUCACGAAGGGCUGUAUUUAUUAGAUAAAGCCAACAUUUAGGUGAUUCAUAAUAACUUAGCGGAUCGCGGACAUUGUCCGCGACGUGUCAUUCAAGUAUCUGCCCUAUCAGCUUUGAUGGUAGUGUAUUGGACUACCAUGGCAUUAACGGGUAACGGGGAAUUAGGGUUCGGUUCCGGAGAAAGAGCCUGAGAAACGGCUAUUACAUCUAAGGAGGGCAGCAGGGGCGUAAAUUACCCAAUCUUAAUUUAAGGAGGUAGUGACAAGAAAUAUCGAACCGGAGAAAUCCGGGAUUGGAAUGGGACCAAACGUAAAACCCUUGGCGAGUAACAAUUGGAGGGCAAGUCUGGUG
This 463-nucleotide ribosomal RNA is filed under the name uncultured Metopus. RNAcentral describes it as "SSU rRNA". It matches the Rfam family "Eukaryotic small subunit ribosomal RNA", at positions 72 to 566 of the family's 1831-position model. Lineage: Eukaryota; Ciliophora; Armophorea; Metopida; Metopidae. The record is from RNAcentral.